RNAcentral lists this long non-coding RNA (412 nucleotides) under Physcomitrium patens. Its description in RNAcentral is "long non-coding RNA (PPAT_LNC010658)". Lineage: Eukaryota; Viridiplantae; Streptophyta; Bryopsida; Funariales; Funariaceae. The record is from RNAcentral.
UUAUAUUGUUGGUUUUCUCCUUCUCCCACAAUGGCCUAUUUAAGAAGGAGCCCUAAACAACUGAAGAAAGUGGGGAGGAAUUAGUGUGGGCUUUUAUGUAGGAGAAUGAUGAGCAGGGGCUGGAGAGGGAGAGGUUCAAGUGGCAUUGAUGGGUGUGGUAUGUUGUGUGUUGUUGGGUGUUGGGUGUUGGUCCUCCUUCUCCUUCUCUCUCUCUCUCUCUCCCUUUCCCUUAACCCUCUCUAUUACCUCUCUACCUCUCUCUCUCUCUCUCCCUGCUCCUGCUCUCCUGCUCUCCUCUGAUCUGGUAUUGCAUGCAUGUCCACAUUUCUUCUCAUGUCCCCAUUCUGCCCCCUCCUCCACUCUCCAUUCUCUUUUUUCUUUUUCCUUUUCAAUCUUUUUCUUUCUGUUUCCC